AGAGCAAUUAUCCUGUUUAGCCAUUUUAACCCAGAAGCACACCAUCUGAAUUCAACUGUUGACCACCAAAGACUGUUACUGUCAGGACAGUAACUUGCUUUCCAUUUGCUACAGGAUCUACUCCCAGAGGAGCACAUUAUAGAAUGGCCCUAGGACUGGCAGGCUCUUCCUUGAGGCUGUGGAACUACAAGACCUUGGGGUGCAACCCAACAGAGUGAUUCUCCAGUCAAGAAAGGUUCCUGAUAUUUGUGCUGGCAAGAGUAUUUCCUGUAGAUGCUCUUAAUGUAAAAUGCAGCAUUCUGAGAUCAUGGGAUCUACACUGAAGAACUUUUUUUCUACUUGUAUCUGCUGCCAUGGCUCAAUUUUUCUGAGGACUUGGACACUUCUUUUGUGACCUGAUUUUCUCUAAAAAAGACAACUCCCUCAUCCCUAGAGCCCUUGAAGGUCUCUAGAAGCUUUAGCAAGGCAGAUGAGUCCGCCAACCUAAGCACUCUGCCAGUUUCCAUCCUGUACAUGUUUUUAACCCUCAGGGUAGAGUGAAUGCCUGGAGAUACUCUUUCAUAACAUUUGUUUGGCAAGAAAAAUAGAAAAAAAUGAUAGCAGCCAAGGGUCACAGUUUCUGCAUUCUGCAAGAAUAUCUUUAAGCAUAUUCUGCCUUUAUUUUUGUAAAGUAAAAACUCAGUUUUGUGACAACUCCUUGCAUUCUUCAUUGUUUUGUUUUGUUCCUAGGAUGGGACUAUCACAGCUCUAACUGUAGAUUGCUUAUAGUCUUUGCAUUUUUUUAAUUUGAAAGUGUUAUGCUAUAUCUCCUACUUUUUUCUCUUAUGCAUCCCAUUUCUAUGUUUAAUUUUCAAUUUCUAGAGGAGGCACUCUUAAUUCAGGGAUCACUGUCCCUUAAUGGCACACAUAGAUGAGCCUCUAGAAAUACAUGAACAUUCUCAGAUUUGUGAGCUAAGCAAAAAUAUGUAUACUUGCAUAUAUGUGCAUUUUUUGAGGGAUAGAAUACAUAAAUUUCACAAGAUUUUCAAUACGGUCUAUAAGCCAAAAUAUGUUCAAAAUUAUCACUGUAUACAAAACUAGAGAAAUAUGCCUUAAGAACUUCUUCAGAGAAUGAAAUAAGUGUCUCUGUCCUAAAAAGGAGUUUCUUCUUAGGAAUAUCUUUCCCUUUCUUUGGAGAGUUCUCAUGAAAUGAGGGUAGAACUUUCUGUAUUGUAAAAACUGACUUUGGGAUUGCACUCUCUCACCUAGAGAUUGAGUCUCCUU
Molecule: non-coding RNA, 1263 nt
Organism: Sus scrofa (pig)
Lineage: Eukaryota; Metazoa; Chordata; Mammalia; Artiodactyla; Suidae
Source: RefSeq, a predicted model, not a curated record